AACGAACGCUGGCGGCAUGCCUAACACAUGCAAGUCGAACGAUACCUUCGGGUCUAGUGGCGCACGGGUGCGUAACGCGUGGGAACCUGCCCUUAGGUUCGGAAUAACUCCCCGAAAGGGGUGCUAAUACCGGAUAAUGUCUUCGGACCACAGAUUUAUCGUCUUUGGAUGGGCCCGCGUUGGAUUAGCUAGUUGGUAGGGUAAAAGCCUACCAAGGCGACGAUCCAUAGCUGGUCUGAGAGGAUGAUCAGCCACACUGGGACUGAGACACGGCCCAGACUCCUACGGGAGGCAGCAGUGGGGAAUAUUGGACAAUGGGCGAAAGCCUGAUCCAGCAAUGCCGCGUAAGUGAUGAAGGCCUUAGGGUUGUAAAGCUCUUUUACCCGGGAUGAUAAUGACAGUACCGGGAGAAUAAGCUACGGCUAACUCCGUG
RNAcentral lists this ribosomal RNA (433 nucleotides) under uncultured bacterium. Its description in RNAcentral is "partial 16S ribosomal RNA". It matches the Rfam family "Bacterial small subunit ribosomal RNA", at positions 29 to 507 of the family's 1533-position model. The record is from RNAcentral.